This is a non-coding RNA of Macaca mulatta (Rhesus monkey), 3035 nucleotides long. The record is from RefSeq and is a predicted model, not a curated record. Lineage: Eukaryota; Metazoa; Chordata; Mammalia; Primates; Cercopithecidae.
AGGCGGGGUCCUGGCUGGGCCUGGGGUCCUGCUGCCUCAGGGUCAGGACCCUGGGAACCCCACCCCCACCCACCGUGUCCUGCUCCGACUUUGCUCUUGGUGGCGGCGGCGGGGACUGGGGGUCUCUCCGUGGCUCUGCCAGGCUGGGAAAUGCCUGCUCCACGUCUAGCUUCCUGCUACGGCCUCCCCAUCUUGGCCGUCAGCACCGCUCCAAGACCCAAAUACUGGGGGUGUGGGUGGAGAACCUGGCUGGAGGCAGUCGGGGCUCCGCUGCUCAGCAACUUAAGGGGACUGAGUUGGCCUGGGGUUGGUUGCACAUUCACUACGGCUGCACAUUCCCAUUCUCUGCUUCCAGGGCAAGGAGAGGACCGUGCAUCCUCAGUGACCAUGGUGCCUCACCCUGCUUUAGAGAAGCCUGUCCUUGCCCCCAAGCUGCUCUCCACAGAGUUCUGUUUGCGCACAAGAGGUCCCUGUGAAGGAGUGUCCAUCAGGUCUGGACGUGCACCUGACCUCGCUGACUGAGAACGUGGUGACUAAGGAGCUGCCCACACCCGUCUUCAGCCAACCAAGCACCUAACCAUCAGGGAUCCUGGGACUCAGGCCUGCCUUUGCCGGACACUUCCCUUCGGAUUUCCACCUGGCCACAUUCCACUCUUACUUAAGGAUUCUGCUUACAAGUCGUGUCCUCUAAGGCUCCCCGCUAGCCUUCCCCACCACGAUGACAUCCAGGAGCCCACCUCUAUCGGAUGCAGAUGAAGAUGCCAAGGGGAGCCUGACCGACCGUGGAACCAUCAUGGAGGGAGGCAGAGCUGAGGGCUGGGGGAGGUCCCGGCUGCAUCACCUGAGCCCCUGAAUCCAGCCAUACCUGAAGGUAGCUACCCUUGCCCCUCUUUGAGUUGCAUGAAUCAAUACAUCCCUUUCAUUCUUAAGCCAGUUUGAAAUGGGUUCUGUCCCUGACAAAUGGAGUCCUAGUUGGUACCCUUCUCUGUCCCUCCCACCCCAACUUCACUCUUAGCAGCCUGGGAAAAUUCAGAGAGAAAUGAGGGGGCCGUGGAGAGCCAGGUUCUGAGGCUGUGGCCGCUGCACCCCUCCCGCCACACAGGUGGGCCGAUGUUUAGGAAACGCUACUUCCACCGAAGCCUUUGGUAACACCCUGGUGCCCGCAGCACCCACAACUGGACACCCCUCCCCAGGUUUCUGUCUGCUCUGAUGAGCCCCCAGCUGCUCUCCCCCGACAUCCCUGUCCUCAGCAAGACCCCAGCUCCUCUCUGGUGUUGGAUCCCGUCCCCGCCUGCCCAGCCGUGCUCACCCCUGAAGCAGGAGCUUCUGAAUGUCCUGGGUUUCUUGGCUCCUCGCAGAGCCCCAGGGUCCCUGAUAAAUGUCUGGCACCGGUGGGGCACCCGGUAACUGUUCACCCACUCCCAUAAAUAUGCUGUUUACUGCUGAAUUAUAAAGGGUGUGGGAACAAGAGAGAGGUUUCAAAUCACUUUUCAUUCUUACGGUUUGAAUACAUUACACAGUGAUCUAAUUAGGCUUGUAUUUCAAGCAGAGACCACACUUCAAAGUAAAAUUUAAAAAUAAUUCUACUAUGGGAGGAAAUGAAUGUUUCUAAUAUAAAAUUUCAACCGCUGUGCUUGGCAGGCAGGGAAGCUUGCGGAGCCUCGUUAUCCUAAUCGAGGAAGCCCCAGAAAGGAGAGCCGUUAAGAGAAGUGACGUUUUCCUGGACAUCUGUCCUGAGAGGUUUCCAUCCCUCCUGGAUGCUCUGGGUCUCUGAGCACCCCAGCCUGUGGGUUCUGACAGGAGGUGGGUGGGAACAGGAUGGGGCCCCAGGCAGGUGCUCCAGCCCCGUGUGGGGAGCAGAGGUUGGAUGGUGGGGACUUGCUCAGACCCUCCUCUUCCUAUAGUCCCAGCGCCGCACGGUGGGACUCUGGACGGUCCUCCCUCUCCGUCUUCCCCUCACUGGGGCCCAGCACGGCACAGGGGGGGCAGCCAACACCAUUUAGACACCAGAACUGUCCGGAGUGUCCUGCCCUCUGUCUCAAGUCACGACCCCGGAUUCCCCAGGCAGCCACACACAGCGGUCUACACCCGGAGAAAGUUGCUGUGAGAACUGCGGCAGCACAGGAGGCUCUGUGUGUUUGCUUUUGUUGAUCUGUUCAACUGCAGCUCUGACUUAUUCCUGGGGUGGGGUUGAGUUGGUACCGUAGGCGGGUUAGUCUGUGACCAUCUCCAGGCGGUCCUUCAUCCCACUCUGCUUGCUCCCUUGGAUUUAUUUUUCCAGCGCGCACAGGGAACUUCCUUCCUUCUGCUAAGGGAUGCUGACCGCCUAAUUAAUUGGUUGCUCUUAUGACCUAGCCCAGCUCCCAGAGGUUCCUGUGUCAGGGCUGCUUGGGAUUUGUUAAGGAAACAACAUGCCGUUCCUCUCAUAGUCAUUUGUCAUCUGUGUCUGAACGUUCAUGACACGUCUUUGACCUAAGAUACCUGAUCUACACGACAAAUUAUUUGAGAACAUAAAAUCUGAACUUGAAAUUUUAGCAAGAAGAGAAAGCCGACGUUCACUUUUCACCUUCACUUGGGCUCUGAGCUGUCUCAGAAAGACAUAUCUGAUUUCUGUUACAUGAACGACGUGUUUCUUUUUUUCCAAGUUCUGAGGCCUCCAGCUCACAAGUCAGAUUAGGAGCAGGCCCUGAGAGGCAGGAAAAUCCUUCCUGAGCUCUUGUGGCCCCAGGACCAGGGACCAUGCUAGAGUUAACGCCUCACUCCCCACAGGGCUCUGGGGGAGUUUCCCCUUCCUCCUAAAUGGCUUUGCAGGGAGAGCUGGGCCCUGCCAGUGGGAGCCCCCUCCAGGCCAGCUGACCUGGGUGCUGGGAGGAGCUGCUGCCCCGAGGCGAGGACUGAUGUGUGUUGAAAACCAGAAUUCUGAAAUGAAAUGGAAUUCGAAUGAGAGACCAGGGGAUGCCCAGACCUGGGAGGAAACUGCAUUUCACCCGGUCGGACCCUGCCCUUGGCGUCCACAGCCCAGGACAAAUACUUCA